GCUGAUACAUUAAAGUUAAGGUAAAAAUUCUUUGAUGUUCUAGGGGACGAUAAAACCCUAAAAGCUUUAAAAAAUUAAAAUUUUUAGUAGUGGUAUUGAUUUUUUACUGGGGCGGUAUUAGUGUUUUAACCAUUAGCAGUAAAGGUUGAUCCUUAAUAUAAAGAUAGUUCGGUGAAGUUACUCUAGGGAUAACAGUGCGGUAUUUUUGGAAAGGUCUUAUUGAUAAAAAUGUUCGCAACCUCGAUGUUGAAUUAAGAUGUCUACGUGGAGAAGCAGAUACAGUAGAGGGUUUGUUCAACCUUUAUAGUCUUACAUG
RNAcentral lists this ribosomal RNA (316 nucleotides) under Gammarus cf. fossarum 1BG13. RNAcentral's name for it is "partial large subunit ribosomal RNA". The stretch from base 45 to 316 matches the Rfam family "Bacterial large subunit ribosomal RNA", at positions 2078 to 2602 of the family's 2925-position model. The record is from RNAcentral. Lineage: Eukaryota; Metazoa; Arthropoda; Malacostraca; Amphipoda; Gammaridae.